This 460-nucleotide ribosomal RNA is filed under the name uncultured bacterium. RNAcentral's name for it is "partial 16S ribosomal RNA". It matches the Rfam family "Bacterial small subunit ribosomal RNA", at positions 338 to 795 of the family's 1533-position model. The record is from RNAcentral.
CCUACGGGAGGCAGCAGUGAGGAAUAUUGGUCAAUGGCCGAGAGCCUGAACCAGCCAAGUAGCGUGAAGGAUGACUGCCCUACGGGUUGUAAACUUCUUUUAUCAAGGAAUAAAGUGAGGCACGCGUGCCUUUUUGUAUGUACUUUAUGAAUAAGGAUCGGCUAACUCCGUGCCAGCAGCCGCGGUAAUACGGAGGAUCCGAGCGUUAUCCGGAUUUAUUGGGUUUAAAGGGAGCGUAGAUGGGUUGUUAAGUCAGUUGUGAAAGUUUGGGGCUCAACCGUAAAAUUGCAAUUGAUACUGGCAGCCUUGAGUACAGGUGAGGUAGGCGGAAUGCGUGGUGUAGCGGUGAAAUGCUUAGAUAUCACGCAGAACUCCGAUUGCGAAGGCAGCGUACUAAACUGCCACUGACAUUGAUGCUCGAAAGUGUGGGUAUCAAACAGGAUUAGAUACCCCUGUAGUC